Molecule: transfer RNA, 67 nt
Filed under: Dixella aestivalis
Lineage: Eukaryota; Metazoa; Arthropoda; Insecta; Diptera; Dixidae
Description: tRNA-Asn
Source: RNAcentral
UUAAUUGAAGCCAAAAAGAGGUGUGUCACUGUUAAUGACAAGAAUGAAUUUUAUAGUUCCAAUUAAA